CCUUCAGCACCACCCAGCUAUGCAGAAGUGGUAACAGAGGAACAAAGGCGGAACAAUCUUGUACCAGUGAGUGCUUGUGAUGACUUUGAGAGAGCCCUUCAAGGACCACUGUUUGCAUAUAUCCAGGAGUUUCGAUUCUUGCCUCCACCUCUUUAUUCAGAGAUUGAUCCAAAUCCUGAUCAGUCAGCAGAUGAUAGACCAUCCUGCCCCUCUCGUUGAAGGAACACUUGGUUGAAUCAAGUUGAUGUGGGUUCCGAACUGUAUCUCUUCCGGCUGAGGACAGAGAAGUAUCUUGGAGACACGUUUCAGAGGAAGUGGAAUUGCUUUUGCCCAGAAAAAUGGCAAAUGCAUGAAACAACCAGUGAUCAUGCUUUAGAAGCCUACAGCAACAUUCUGGGACUGCUCCAACAUGCUUGAAGAUCUAAGCUUUUCUCUUUUAAAACUGGCACAUACUCAGAGCAGUCUUCUUAGCCUAUGGUCGUACGUGUCAAGACAUCACGUUGUAAAGAGGGAUGAUUUCCUUCUUUUGAUUUGAAAAUUUGCACAUGCUCAAUGCUUACAUUGUGCGGUUCGAUGUCACUACAGCUUCUUUUUUUUUUUUUUUUUUUUCUAUUUUUGCCAGACUCUUGAUACUCUUAAAACUUGUUUGUGGUCAGCACAACAAGGAACAAAACAAAGCUUUGAAAAAACUUUAACAUGAAAAAACGCACUGACAUUUUUUUUUUAUUUAAUAUAGCCUGGACUUUACCUGCGUAUGCACAUGCUCAGAAUUGUCUACUAGGCUGACCAUGUAUCACCUCUUCAGCUUGGAUCCAAUUGUG
This 821-nucleotide small RNA is filed under the name Pan troglodytes (chimpanzee). RNAcentral describes it as "retained intron". The record is from RNAcentral. Lineage: Eukaryota; Metazoa; Chordata; Mammalia; Primates; Hominidae.